GGGCCCGCACAAGCGGAGGAACAUGUGGUUUAAUUCGAUGAUACGCGAGGAACCUUACCCGGGCUUGAAUUGCAUCUGAAUGUAGUGGAAACAUUACAGCUAGCAAUAGCAGAUGUGAAGGUGCUGCAUGGUUGUCGUCAGCUCGUGCCGUGAGGUGUCGGCUUAAGUGCCAUAACGAGCGCAACCCUCAUCACUAGUUACCAUCAGGUCAAGCUGGGGACUCUAGUGAGACUGCCGGCGUAAGCUGUGAGGAAGGUGGGGAUGACGUCAAAUCAGCACGGCCCUUACGUCCGGGGCGACACACGUGUUACAAUGGAGGGUACAGCGGGAAGCUACCUGGCGACAGGAUGCCAAUCUUAAAAACCCUUCUCAGUUCGGAUCGGAGUCUGCAACUCGACUUCGUGAAGCUGGAUUCGCUAGUAAUCGCGCAUCAGCCAUGGCGCGGUGAAUACGUUCCCGGGCCUU
This 465-nucleotide ribosomal RNA is filed under the name uncultured bacterium. RNAcentral's name for it is "bacterial SSU rRNA". It matches the Rfam family "Bacterial small subunit ribosomal RNA", at positions 917 to 1382 of the family's 1533-position model. The record is from RNAcentral.